Molecule: ribosomal RNA, 240 nt
Filed under: uncultured bacterium
Lineage: Bacteria
Description: partial 16S ribosomal RNA
Rfam family: Bacterial small subunit ribosomal RNA
Source: RNAcentral
CGACGUGGGCGACCUGCCUCACACAGGGGGAUAACAGCCAGAAAUGGCUGCUAAUACCGCAUAAGCGCACAGUGCUGCAUGGCACAGUGUGAAAAACCGAGGUGGUGUGAGAUGGGCCCGCGUCUGAUUAGCUUGUUGGCGGGUAACGGCCCACCAAGGCGACGAUCAGUAGCCGGCUUGAGAGAGUGGACGGCCACAUUGGAACUGAGACACGGUCCAAACUCCUACGGGAGGCAGCAG